This 204-nucleotide long non-coding RNA is filed under the name Elaeis guineensis (African oil palm). Its description in RNAcentral is "long non-coding RNA (EGUI_LNC039313)". Lineage: Eukaryota; Viridiplantae; Streptophyta; Magnoliopsida; Arecales; Arecaceae. The record is from RNAcentral.
AUGAACUUCACUAAGUUUAAUUUUGCUGGCAUUAGUUCAUUCUUCAAGAAAUUUUUUUCUAAAAGAUUGUCCUGUUGCUGACGAACAUCUUUUAUUCUUUAAUGAGGCAGAAGUAGUACCCUUUAAUUUUUUUAGGGUACAUUAUGAACAAGCAUUUAUUGGACUUUGAUCCAAGCUUAUCUAUCUUUAAAUACUUGGCAUAAG